ACCUGAGGGGGAAAAGAUGAAUGAACCAUCUUGGCUCUGCCCUGGGCCUCUCAGAUUGCCGACUUCCUGUUAGGUUGUGAAAUAGAAAGACAAGGGACCAGAGGAGAAAGUCUUGGCCAGCCCCAGGUAUUUUAGCCAGAGGUCAAAGUCAGAACCACCAAGCGAAGCAUGCCUUCGGAGUCCCAGGCCCAGGGGCUGGGUCAGUGAAGUUCUUUGUGGAGUGUCCACACCUCUCCUUGUUAGCUUGAAGUGUCCUCAAGAACAAGGACUCAUGAAAAAGACCACGGUCCAAGGAUUUUGAGGUCAUUUGUUCCUACAGAAAUUUUUUUUUUAGGCAAUUGGAGUUAAGUGACUUGCCCAGGGUCACAGAGCUAG
Phascolarctos cinereus (koala) is the source of this 375-nucleotide non-coding RNA. The record is from RefSeq and is a predicted model, not a curated record. NCBI's taxonomy places the organism in Eukaryota, Metazoa, Chordata, Mammalia, Diprotodontia, Phascolarctidae.